AUUGAACGCUGGCGGCAGGCCUAACUCAUGCAAGUCGAGCGGAUGAAGGGAGCUUGCUCCUGGAUUCAGCGGCGGACGGGUGAGUAAUGCCUAGGAAUCUGCCUGGUAGUGGGGGAUAACGUCCGGAAACGGGCGCUAAUACCGCAUACGUCCUGAGGGAGAAAGUGGGGGAUCUUCGGACCUCACGCUAUCAGAUGAGCCUAGGUCGGAUUAGCUAGUUGGUGGGGUAAAGGCCUACCAAGGCGACGAUCCGUAACUGGUCUGAGAGGAUGAUCAGUCACACUGGAACUGAGACACGGUCCAGACUCCUACGGGAGGCAGCAGUGGGGAAUAUUGGACAAUGGGCGAAAGCCUGAUCCAGCCAUGCCGCGUGUGUGAAGAAGGUCUUCGGAUUGUAAAGCACUUUAAGUUGGGAGGAAGGGCAGUAAGUUAAUACCUUGCUGUUUUGACGUUACCAACAGAAUAAGCACCGGCUAACUUCGUG
This 484-nucleotide ribosomal RNA is filed under the name uncultured bacterium. Its description in RNAcentral is "partial 16S ribosomal RNA". It matches the Rfam family "Bacterial small subunit ribosomal RNA", at positions 30 to 507 of the family's 1533-position model. The record is from RNAcentral.